Molecule: long non-coding RNA, 290 nt
Organism: Dendronephthya gigantea
Lineage: Eukaryota; Metazoa; Cnidaria; Anthozoa; Malacalcyonacea; Nephtheidae
Exons: 3
Source: RefSeq, a predicted model, not a curated record
CUUGAUGGCAAUAGAAUUGAACUUGAUUCAAAAAUCCCUGAUUCAAUUCGAAAAAUGAUUCAGUCCACAAUGAAAAAGAAAGAUCACAGACCAACGUUUUUUGAAUUGAAAACCGGUCUCAAGGAAAUGAGAUUUGAUGAUGGUACAUACAUGUAUCCGGCCCACUACAGAAAAUUACCUCGCGCCUCAUUUCGUGUACGUGAGAAAAGUGACACAAAGAACACUUGAACAAUUGGUAUAAAUUGAGUCUACAAUCUUUGUUGUCUAGCCUGACUUCUAUAAUUGCCGCC